ACACAUGCAGUCGACGACCCUUCGGGGUUAGUGGCGCACGGGUGCGUAACGCGUGGGAACCUGCCUUUUGGUUCGGAAUAACAGUGAGAAAUUACUGCUAAUACCGGAUAAUGUCUUCGGACCAAAGAUUUAUCGCCAUUAGAUGGGCCCGCGUAAGAUUAGCUAGUUGGUGGGGUAAAGGCCUACCAAGGCGACGAUCUUUAGCUGGUCUGAGAGGAUGAUCAGCCACACUGGGACUGAGACACGGCCCAGACUCCUACGGGAGGCAGCAGUGGGGAAUAUUGGACAAUGGGCGAAAGCCUGAUCCAGCAAUGCCGCGUGAGUGAUGAAGGCCUUAGGGUUGUAAAGCUCUUUUACCCGAGAUGAUAAUGACAGUAUCGGGAGAAUAAGCUCCGGCUAACUCCGUGCCAGCAGCCGCGGUAAUACGGAGGGAGCUAGCGUUGUUCGGAAUUACUGGGCGUAAAGCGCACGUAGGCGGCUUUUUAAGUCAGGGGUGAAAUCCCGGGGCUCAACCCCGGAACUGCCCUUGAAACUGGGAAGCUAGAAUCUUGGAGAGGCGAGUGGAAUUCCGAGUGUAGAGGUGAAAUUCGUAGAUAUUCGGAAGAACACCAGUGGCGAAAGCGACUCGCUGGACAAGUAUUGACGCUGAGUGCGAAAGCGUGGGGAGCAAACAGGAUUAGAUACCC
RNAcentral lists this ribosomal RNA (686 nucleotides) under uncultured bacterium. RNAcentral describes it as "bacterial SSU rRNA". It matches the Rfam family "Bacterial small subunit ribosomal RNA", at positions 51 to 787 of the family's 1533-position model. The record is from RNAcentral.